This 439-nucleotide ribosomal RNA is filed under the name uncultured bacterium. RNAcentral's name for it is "partial 16S ribosomal RNA". It matches the Rfam family "Bacterial small subunit ribosomal RNA", at positions 339 to 795 of the family's 1533-position model. The record is from RNAcentral.
CUACGGGGGGCUCCAGUGAGGAAUAUUGCACAAUGGGGGGAACCCUGAUGCAGCAACGCCGCGUGGAGGAUGACGCAUUUCGGUGUGUAAACUCCUUUUAUAUGUCAAGAAAAUGACGGUAGCAUAUGAAUAAGCACCGGCUAACUCCGUGCCAGCAGCCGCGGUAAUACGGAGGGUGCAAGCGUUACUCGGAAUCACUGGGCGUAAAGGACGCGUAGGCGGGUUGGAAAGUCAGGUGUGAAAUCCUACAGCUUAACUGUAGAACUGCACUUGAAACUUCUAAUCUAGAGUAUGGGAGGGGGAGAUGGAAUUAGUGGUGUAGGGGUAAAAUCCGUAGAUAUUACUAGGAAUAUCAAAAGCGAAGGCGAUCUCCUGGAACAUUACUGACGCUAAGGCGUGAAAGCGUGGGGAGCAAACAGGAUUAGAUACCCCAGUAGUC